CCUACGGGUGGCAGCAGUGAGGAAUAUUGGUCAAUGGGCGCGAGCCUGAACCAGCCAAGUAGCGUGAAGGAUGACUGCCCUACGGGUUGUAAACUUCUUUUAUGAGGGACGAAAGAAAUGACGGUACCUCAUGAAUAAGCCACGGCUAACUACGUGCCAGCAGCCGCGGUAAUACGUAGGUGGCAAGCGUUAUCCGGAUUUACUGGGUGUAAAGGGCGUGUAGGCGGGACUGCAAGUCAGAUGUGAAAAUUAUGGGCUCAACCCAUAACCUGCAUUUGAAACUGUAGUUCUUGAGUGAUGGAGAGGCAGGCGGAAUUCCGUGUGUAGCGGUGAAAUGCGUAGAUAUACGGAGGAACACCAGUGGCGAAGGCGGCCUGCUGGACAUUAACUGACGCUGAGGCGCGAAAGCGUGGGGAGCAAACAGGAUUAGAUACCCCGGUAGUC
RNAcentral lists this ribosomal RNA (444 nucleotides) under uncultured bacterium. RNAcentral's name for it is "partial 16S ribosomal RNA". It matches the Rfam family "Bacterial small subunit ribosomal RNA", at positions 338 to 795 of the family's 1533-position model. The record is from RNAcentral.